UACGAAGGGGGCUAGCGUUGCUCGGAAUUACUGGGCGUAAAGGGCGCGUAGGCGGAUAGUUUAGUCAGAGGUAAAAGCCCAGGGCUCAACCUUGGAACUGCCUUUGAUACUGGCUGUCUUGAGUCCGGGAGAGGUGAGUGGAACUCCUAGUGUAGAGGUGAAAUUCGUAGAUAUUAGGAAGAACACCAGUGGCGAAGGCGGCUCACUGGCUCGUAUCUGACGCUCAGGCGCGACAGCGUGGGGGAUCAAACAGG
Molecule: ribosomal RNA, 254 nt
Filed under: uncultured bacterium
Lineage: Bacteria
Description: partial 16S ribosomal RNA
Rfam family: Bacterial small subunit ribosomal RNA
Source: RNAcentral